UCAUCCACAAAUAUCAUGCACCAAAGAAUACACUGAUAACGUUAACUUUUGAAAGUAUAUAAAAUUGUUUAAGAGGUAUCUUAAUUAGAUUGAAUGAUAGACACUGAUGACGUGUGAAAACAAAACAGCAGAAGAAGUCACUCUCAAUCUGAUCUAACAAGAAAUGCUCCAUCGAGAAAGUGAGAUAGCUCAUUAAAAUGAGAAAACAAUCACAUUUGUG
RNAcentral lists this unclassified non-coding RNA (220 nucleotides) under Hevea brasiliensis (rubber tree). Lineage: Eukaryota; Viridiplantae; Streptophyta; Magnoliopsida; Malpighiales; Euphorbiaceae. The record is from RNAcentral.